UCCCUAGUGGUCUAGUGGUUAAGACUCUGCAUUUCCAUUGCAGGGGGCAGGGGUUUGAUCCCUGGUCAGGGAA
This 73-nucleotide transfer RNA is filed under the name Bos taurus (domestic cattle). It matches the Rfam family "tRNA". Rfam says of the family: Transfer RNA (tRNA) molecules are approximately 80 nucleotides in length. RNAcentral also lists the same sequence under 3 other names. Lineage: Eukaryota; Metazoa; Chordata; Mammalia; Artiodactyla; Bovidae. The record is from Rfam by way of RNAcentral.